ACGCGUUCGAUAGUGACCCAACCACCUUCGAUAGCUGGCGUCUCACAUCGCUAAAAUAAUUUCAACAUUGAAAAAUGUUGUGUAAAAAUUGACGGCAAUGAAAAAGCUUAACAUAAUAAUGGAUAAAUAUGGAUCGCUUUUUAAAAAAAUGUUUAAUGUAUUCUACAUAAGUAUUUUGAUUACACGUCGGAGGGCCGCAACGCCCAAGUCCAGAAUAGGAAGACUGCGAUUGCACUGCGAUCUGAAGCAAGAUUGCGAUCAAAUAACAAAGUCGGAAACGCACGAGUGGAUGCUAUCCUUAUUAAAUGGCAAUAUCUGGAGAGGGCAAUUGCCAGUCAAGAUGUAGACCCACUGUUAUGGAUAAAGGUGAAUCAAACUAAUUUUCUCUGCAUAAAUAGGCCUGUUUUGCAAAUACCUUUGCCUUCCUGUACAUCCGUAGAAUCGGAAAGAGCGUUCAGCAAGACAGGGCAAAUUGUUUCUGAGAGACGCACCCG
Long non-coding RNA from Drosophila ananassae, 494 nucleotides. RefSeq lists it as uncharacterized. Lineage: Eukaryota; Metazoa; Arthropoda; Insecta; Diptera; Drosophilidae. The transcript is spliced from 2 exons. The record is from RefSeq and is a predicted model, not a curated record.